Molecule: ribosomal RNA, 497 nt
Filed under: uncultured bacterium
Lineage: Bacteria
Description: partial 16S ribosomal RNA
Rfam family: Bacterial small subunit ribosomal RNA
Source: RNAcentral
GAUGAACGCUGGCGGCGUGCCUAAUACAUGCAAGUCGAGCGAACGGACGAGAAGCUUGCUUCUCUGAUGUUAGCGGCGGACGGGUGAGUAACACGUGGAUGACCUACCUAUAAGACUGGGAUAACUUCGGAAAACCGGAGCUAAUACCGGAUAAUAUUUUGAACCGCAUGGUUCAAAAGUGAAAGACGGUCUUGCUGUCACUUAUAGAUGGAUCCGCGCUGCAUUAGCUAGUUGGUAAGGUAACGGCUUACCAAGGCAACGAUGCAUAGCCGACCUGAGAGGGUGAUCGGCCACACUGGAACUGAGACACGGUGCAGACUCCUACGGGAGGCAGCAGUAGGGAAUCUUCCGCAAUGGGCGAAAGCCUGACGGAGCAACGCCGCGUGAGUGAUGAAGGUCUUCGGAUCGUAAAACUCUGUUAUUAGGGAAGAACAUAUGUGUAAGUAACUGUGCACAUCUUGACGGUACCUAAUCAGAAAGCCACGGCUAACUACGUG